GACUCGGACCCAUGCGGCUCCAACGCCCAAACCUUGUCAGGCCUUGAUCGGAGCAGCAAUACGGGAUGCUUGUGGCAGGCGUGGAAUCCGGGUCACU
Molecule: signal recognition particle RNA, 97 nt
Filed under: Oscillatoria sp. SIO1A7
Lineage: Bacteria; Bacillati; Cyanobacteriota; Cyanophyceae; Oscillatoriales; Oscillatoriaceae
Description: signal recognition particle sRNA small type
Rfam family: Bacterial small signal recognition particle RNA
About the family: The signal recognition particle (SRP) is a universally conserved ribonucleoprotein involved in the co-translational targeting of proteins to membranes. Archaeal SRP consists of a 7S RNA and homologues of the eukaryotic SRP19 and SRP54 proteins.
Source: RNAcentral